Molecule: long non-coding RNA, 2351 nt
Organism: Lagopus leucura (white-tailed ptarmigan)
Lineage: Eukaryota; Metazoa; Chordata; Aves; Galliformes; Phasianidae
Exons: 3
Source: RefSeq, a predicted model, not a curated record
GAUGAGAACUGACGAAACUACCAGGACAGCAAUAAAGAUGAGGAAGCAGAAGGGUCCAAGAGCCAUCUGGAGAUAAAAAUAGAGACUGGACUUUCCUGACACACAGAAGACAAAUAGAAAAUAGGACCAGAAGGAGCAGCACAAGUACCGUAAUCCAAGAACUCUUGCUACAGCUUUUCCUAGUGCAAGAAACACCGAGGAGGUCACAUUUACAAAGCCACGCAUCUUCUUAGGUGAGAUCUCUCCUGCAUACUGAACAUGGGCAUUCAGAUAUAUUCCUAAAAAGAAGACAAAGGAGAACUGAAGUUACAGAAAACGAGAGAGUCCCUUUUCAUUUCACCUGCUCCACAUAAAGACUGCUUGAUUCCCUAUGCUGCAAUCUUCAAAGAUUCUGCUGCUGUCAGUGGCUGGGCUAGAAGACAAGAUGUUGGAUACUCACCAGCUCUGAGAGGAAACCAGCCAUCUCCUCUUGAAUACCUGCCUGCUCUGGGAGCCCUUGUCAAGUCAGUCGGAUGAGUGAUGUUUCCUAUGCUUAGAUUAUAACAAGUUGGGAUCAUAGCACCGAAGUUAAAUUCUAACUACGUGGCUUCUAGUGAAUUAUGUCCUCCUCCAUCACUGGCCAGGAUCUCUUCUUGCUGGUUUAAUAAUUCCAAGACUCAGAUAUGCCACGUUGAUUACAACAUCAGUAAAUGUUUAUCUUUGUAUUGGGAGUGCUCCCCUUUACUUGCAUUGCUAAAACGAAUGUGGGUUUCUGCUUGGUGGGGAUCAGGUGUUGGCGUCUUUCCUUCAGGACAGCAGGUUCUCUAGGCAGGGAUUUCCUCCUCUCCACUCUACUACAAAGUUAACCCACUUAGUACGGCAGCUGGGCCGUGCUGCCUGAUUUCCUGCGUGCUGUAAGAUUUUCAGUCAGUGAAAGUGAUUUGAGCAGCUUCCCAGUGCAGGACAUAAAGUAUUUGAAUAUUGGCAUGGAGGAGGAGCCUUGGUCCUUGCUAACACCCAGAUGGCCUUGCUUUUUCCAGAGCUACACAGAAACCUCUCUAUUCCCACUUUGUAACAGUGGACGUGGCCUGGUGUGUGCCUGUUCUGGUUUGGGAGUUGAUUUUAAGAAAAUUUUUCACUUUGAAAAGAUUGUUUUGAACAAAAGGCUUUCUCCUUCAGGCUUCUACUCAUAUUCUACACUAAAUACAGCUCCACAUUUAGCAAUGCAUUGGUAGUGCCUUGAGGGGAGGUGGGAAGGGGAGGCUGUGGCUUUAAAGGAGACAGGAGCUUUGCUCAGGAGCACGGUGGAAGGGUUGCAUCCAUCCCAAAGUUUGCCUUUUCCCUGACAGUGUCUGGUAGCUCGGCAGCACUGAGCCUGCUGUGUUAUGCUGACAUCCCAAUCACUCCGUCUCCACACCUUCUUGCCUGGGAGUCUUGUAGCACAUCAGUGCACUGGAAGAAUUUAAGCUGACUUCUUCUUUCCACAUCAUGAGAUCUUCAUUACUUUCACAUCAGCUGUAGUUAUGCAUUUUCCUUCACCUUCUCCUCUUAGCAUGGGCUCCUCAAAUGUUCUUGGUUGUAAAACCCCAGAAUCCACCCUUCUCUUCCAUUAUUAUUGCCGGGCUCUCUGUCUUUAUUUAGAUUUUCUUGUGCUUCUUACAAAUUCUUAUUCUCAAACUCCAGUCACAUUCACACGGCCCUCCUUCAGCUGAUGAUUUUUGCUGCCACAGAGAAGUGCAGUCAGAUGGCACAGCUGCCCACUGGCCUCUCCGAUCCCCUUCUGGAAGGGAUGCAGAUCCACCUCCUAGCAUCACACCAGGACUGUACCCAGCAGAGUAUCCCAGGUCUGGCAGGCACAGAUUACAGCAUCUGGUUGAGCUAACUGUCCCCAGCAGAGCCUUGUCCUUCUUCCUCUCACUGUCUGUAUUUCUUUCAGAAUACUCAUGCAAUUGUCAUUUCCAUCUGUCCCCUCACAUUUGUGCAGUGCUUUAAUAUGGAAAAAGCAAGACUUCAAUGUCUAGUAUAGCUCCUACUCAUUUUCCUAUGGAAGAAGGAAUGAGCCUUUUCACCUAAGAUUAGUUCUUGUUCCAGACUUGAUAUACUUCUGUGAUCCUAGAAAUCAAAUAGAUACAGUGCUGAUUCACAAGCACUCAUUUAACCUUUAUUCACCAUACAAGCUAGUUCAAGGCAUCAUUAAUAAUUAACCAUGCUUCCCCUUGUACCGACAGUACUUAAUAGUAGGGGGGAAGAAGGGGAAAAGUCAGGCAUGGUGAGCAAGAUCGCACUGUAGAAAGAUGCAUGUGAGAAAUGAGUUUUCAGUCUCUUUUAGAACACAAAAACACUCCUUGUCGCAAACCAGUAAGGCUGAGAAA